UUCAAAAUGCUGCUGCAGUUGCAAUAUAAUGUAGAUAACAUUGAAUAAAUACAUUUUUGCCAGGUAGGAUACUGAUAAUUAAUUUACUUAUGUUUCAGAAAGAUGACAAUUUAAUAUUUGACUGGGAAGAAUUGCAAAUGUUGUGGAGAGGUGGCCAGCACUUUUUCAAAAGGAAGAGAUCAGUGCCGAGUUCAUGAGAAUCACGACGGAAAAAGGGUGGCGUGACAAAGGAAAGGACUGGCAGGAUUUUACAUCGUUUAGAUGACGAUAUGCCAGGUGAUGGACUGGAGCAAACAAUGGCCGUCUUAAUCAGUGAGACAGACAGACACCAGGGUUCUCAUUGAGUCCACAGAGGUCCUCAGUAACGUGCCCUCAACCGCAGCUGCUGUAGCAGUGCUGUUUGGACUAACAUAUGUGGUAAACCUCGAGUAUCCAAAAGAACUGAAAUUCACUUGAGUUUUUUCUGAAAGUUUUAAUGGAACUUGGCGCAAGAAAAAUGACCCCCAAAAUAUGUCGCCUCUGCACUCUGCUGCAUAGUCAAUGACUGACUGACAGCCUCCAUUUCAGUGCUUUGAUGAGCACAGGAUGGCAGAAAUUCUUUCACCCCAGUCUCCACUACAUCGUAUUAGUAGUUCAGUAGUUGUUUGUUGUUUACUGGAUGUGGCAAUAUCUCUGUUUUGUAUUUGAUUUACAUUUAUUUCUCUGAAUUAUAUUUGUAUUUGUAAAACAAUGUUUGUUUUGCCAAAAAAGUCUAAUCUUAAAAACAGUGAUUUAAUAAAUCUUUUA
Molecule: long non-coding RNA, 786 nt
Organism: Megalobrama amblycephala (Wuchang bream)
Lineage: Eukaryota; Metazoa; Chordata; Actinopteri; Cypriniformes; Xenocyprididae
Exons: 3
Source: RefSeq, a predicted model, not a curated record